This 469-nucleotide long non-coding RNA is filed under the name Columba livia (rock pigeon). RNAcentral's name for it is "partial uncharacterized LOC102093380". Lineage: Eukaryota; Metazoa; Chordata; Aves; Columbiformes; Columbidae. The record is from RNAcentral.
UUUUUUCUCACUUCAGAGCUCCGCCGGGGCUGCACGACUCUCUGGCGAUGAACGCAGCCAGAAGCGGCUACCGGGUCUUCUCGGCCAACUCCACGGCAGCCUGCACCGAGCUGGCCAAGAGGAUCACGGAUGCUGAUGAUCCCUCCUGGUAAAAGAGUUGGAGCCAGCGAUGAAAACUGACUGCUUUCCGCCUUUUGAGUCUCUGACACCCAUUUUGAUGCUGGGAAGGCCGGAUUGCAGUAAAGGCUAUGAGCGCAGUGGUGAUAGAACCAGAGCUGACCUGAACGAGCGGCGCCUGGAAACUUCUUUGGGGUUGGCAUCUUGAACCCACAGACCGUGGGCACAAGCCCCACCAGAUCCACUCUCUGUCCUGCCUUGGGAGACCGUUGUGAUGGAUGAAGCCUGAAGUCGUGAACUCAAUGUUUUGAAGGGAUGGCCAUGGACUAAGGGAAUGGUAUCUGUGUGUGUA